Molecule: long non-coding RNA, 889 nt
Organism: Cercocebus atys (sooty mangabey)
Lineage: Eukaryota; Metazoa; Chordata; Mammalia; Primates; Cercopithecidae
Exons: 6
Source: RefSeq, a predicted model, not a curated record
ACAGGGUGAGACCCUGUCUCAAGAAAGAACAACAAGAAAGGGAUUGUCAGCUGACCUCUGUCCUGUGGGCCCAGUGGCCCCAGGUGACAUUUCUUCAAGAAGAGGCUGAACUGUGGUGCUUGUAAGGUGGGUCCGCUGUGUGCCGAGGCUCCAUGGGAUGUGUCGUCUUCAUAGCAGCAGGGCUCUGGACCAUGGGUCCCUAAGGUCUCAGCCUUAGAUUCAAGGACAGUCCAAGGAAGUCCUAAGACCAUGGAGUUGGUGACCUGGGAUCUGGGUUUGCUGAUAUUUCUUACCAUGAAUCUCUUGGUGGUGUUUAUGGACACCAGAGGGGCAGAGAAUAGAGAGUGAGGCCACCACAUGAAGCGUCACCAGAGCUGCUCCCUGCUGCCUGCUCAGAGCACCCCGGAUCCACUGUUCAAUCUGCACAAGAUUCGGGGUCCAGACGUGGGAGACUUCAGCUGCCUUGGAGGACCGUGGACAGGGAAGGCCAGCCCUGCAUCCCUCUGGCCAUGCCUGGAAUGACUUUAAUAACAAGAGUUUUAUUCUUGAAUUUGUAGCUGUCGUUCACUUUUUACCCACCCAUUCAAUAAACCUUACAGAAUUGCUCCAUCUGCCUCUUAAAUCAGUGACAACCCGUGAGCCUGCAAGACUGGCUUUGGAGAAGAAUGGAUUAUACCACGGCAAGAGUGGAAGCAGGGUGACCAGUUGGAAGAUUAUGGCAGUUGUGUAGGUGAGAGAUACUGGUGACUUGGACUAGGGAGAUAGAGGUAGACAGCAAGAUAGAUAUCUAUGUUCCAAGAGAGAAAGGUGAAGAUACAAUUUUAGGUGAAUGAAGCUCAGAGCAGGGAAGUAUGUAAAAUGUGAUAUACCAUUUUUUUUUUGGUUAAAA